UCAGCGGGUGCGGGCGCGCGCGUGCGGGCGCUGGGCUGGUUGGGCGGCGGGCGCGCGCGAGGAGUUGGGCCGGUUCGGCCCAAUUCGGCCGGGCCGGUCCGUUUGCUCCUUUUUUUUCUUCUUUUACCCUUUUCUUUUUUCUGUUUUUCUUAUACCUUUGAUAUCUUUUGAUUUCGAACUCCAAAUUGGUCCAAACAAAAUCCAGAAAAUUUGAAAAAUCAUGUCCUACCAUGAUACAACUUUUGGGAGUAGUUUCUCUUCAAAAUAAACUACAUAAAAAUACAUUUGCCCUAUAAAUGCCUUUAGGGCCAUAUAUCUAUUUAAAGAAAAUACAUUUUCAACUCCAAUGAUUAUCCAAAAAUUAUGGGAUAGCUUAUAUAUGCAUUAAACCCCUUUUAUACACAAAACCUAUUGGUUUGAAGAUCCAAAGUUCAAAUGGGUGUAAACCCUAAGGUUCAAGUUGAAAUAAAACUUUUAAAGCCUUUUUGAGAUUCAAAUUUGAAUUCAAACAUGCAAUUGUGGCAUGAUGCUCAUGGGUGCAAUGCACAUGUAAAAGUUUGAAAUUUUGGGAUGUUACAGACCUAACCCCCUUAAGAUGAAUCUCGUCCUCGAGAUUCGGUGUGGUUAGCAAAGAGGUGUGGGUGGUCUUCUCGAAGAUCAUCUUCGCGUUCCGAAGUGGCUUCUUCUUCUGUAUGAUGGUCCCACUGGACUUUGCAAAACUUGAUGGUCUUGGAUCGGGUCUGUCUCUCAGCUGUGUCCAAGAUUCUGAUCGGUUUCUCCUCAUAGGUGAGGUCACUCUGCAAUUUCACUUCUUCUAGGGGUAUCGUAUCCCUUAGUGGUGUGUCGGCCAUCUCGGGGUGACACUUCUUUAGUUGUGAUACAUGGAAGACAUUGUGAACAUUGGACAGUGUUUCCGGUAAAUCCAACUUGUAAGCCACUUCUCCUUGGCGUGACAAGAUUUUGAAAGGCCCAAUUAAAUGGGGUGCUAACUUUCCUUUUAUACCAAAUCUCUUCACUCCGCGUAUCGGCGAAACUCUGAGAUACGCUCUAUCUUCAGCUUCAUAGGU
This 1067-nucleotide long non-coding RNA is filed under the name Brachypodium distachyon (stiff brome). Its description in RNAcentral is "long non-coding RNA (BDIS_LNC004862)". Lineage: Eukaryota; Viridiplantae; Streptophyta; Magnoliopsida; Poales; Poaceae. The record is from RNAcentral.